CACUGGGCCUACACUUCCACAGCUGGUGAACUGUGCUGAGAGAGUAGAAUAUUUUUCUUCUGAAGAUGUAGGCAGUGCAGGGGUUCGGGCAUAUCCCUGGUUUGAUAUAAGUGUUUUGUUUGCUCAUCAGAAAGCAGCUGAUUGCUGUUGCCCUGGAAACACAUACAGAUCAACUCAGGCAAAGGUAGCAGACUUACAUCUCUUCAAUUCUAAGUCUGGGUGCAAGAGCAGAAGGACCGAGGUGAAAACGUUCCCAGACCAUUGAAGGUGGCAAGGCUCAUGGAGAGAGCAAUAUCUUCAGUUAUUAUGGUUAUUAUCAAGAUCCAUUUUAUCUUCUUUUAACAGCUUCAGUGGAAGGCUUCUCCCAGCCCAGAGACCAAGUAGCUUCCAGUGACCCAGCGUGAUGAUCUCAGCCCGGGCACGGCUGCAUUUUCUGGGUAUUCAUUUGUGCUUUGAUCGGCUUUCCCCAAGCCCGGAAGCUGUUAACUGAUCUGUGGUAGACUUUGUCUUAAUUUUAAAAAUGAUUAUGAAUGACUUCGGUCAUUAAUAUAGUCGCUAUGGUGUGUCAAAAUGUUUCACUGUAUUUUUCAUUAAAAGUGUGCGUGACAAUAAAUUUCCAUUCUAUUUUUGUUCU
This is a non-coding RNA of Chiloscyllium plagiosum (whitespotted bambooshark), 634 nucleotides long. NCBI's taxonomy places the organism in Eukaryota, Metazoa, Chordata, Chondrichthyes, Orectolobiformes, Hemiscylliidae. The record is from RefSeq and is a predicted model, not a curated record.